GUCUGGCUGUGGUGUGGGCCCUGAAGAAAUUGCAGGCGUAUUUGUAUGGACAGCCCUUUUCCUUGCUCACGGAUCACAACCUGUUAGUAUGGCUGAACCGGGUGGCUGGGGACAAUGCCAGGCUGCUGCAGCCCUUUGACUUUAACAUUCAGUACCGCCCGGGAAAACAGAAUGGGAACGCUGACAGGUUGUCAAGACAAACCGACCUGGAAAAAUGAUCCGUGAACAUACUUGGACAUCCGCAAGCCGAUCCGUGUUGGAUCAGACUGUGUAUGCCGGCUUGUGGGCAAAGGGGAGCAGUGUAGCGGAUGG
Molecule: non-coding RNA, 312 nt
Organism: Pelobates cultripes (western spadefoot toad)
Lineage: Eukaryota; Metazoa; Chordata; Amphibia; Anura; Pelobatidae
Source: the annotation of a GenBank genome assembly